AAUGCAACAGUACUACUCAAACAUUCUUGUGACAACGACUAACAACUGAUGUUACAUCCUGAAGCAAUUUGACAACAUCAACAUACCUAACAGAUUAUCCACGAUGGUUUUUGAAAGGAUAAAGGCGUCCAUUCGAUAUUUCUACCUACAAUACACAUUAGUAACAUCACUAUACAUGUUGGAACCAAUGGAAGUACGGACGUUCAAUUCCAUGUUGGUUGCAGUGAUAGCCAUGUGUGUGUACACCAGUUGUUCUGUGUUACCUGGACACAUCAGACUACUGCUUCAGACCAUAGCAUAUUAUGUCUACGGAGCAGACCCCUUUAAUCAGUCAAUUAAAACUGGAUAAUACGGCUACAUCAGAGGAUAUUUUAUCUGAGGAUGCUGUUAUAUUAUAGUCCAGGCUGUGGGAGAAGGAGGAGGACGAGUUCUGCAGACUUGACUAAUGUUGUACACUCAUGAAUCAUAUCACUUCAAUGUCAUGAAAAGCCAAAGAAUAACAACAGAUAUGAUCUGAAAAGGAAAAACAAGGAAUUAAAUCUUACCUGCGAGUGCCAUUGAUUGCCCAUGUAUAUAUUUGAUGAGGACAUCCAUGUCAGAAGAUGCGCUUGCUGAGUUUAAAGCUUGUGAAUGGAUCUUGAAAGUUUGAAUUUGAAAUUAAUUAACAACUUUUGAUGAUUGGAUUUUAAGAAAAAAGCAUUCAGCUACCUAGGUGACUCUGUGAUUUUGUUAUAUGUAUAUAAGCAGUAAAUGUAAAGCUAUGUUACAUUAAACCUUAAAAGCUUAAUUAGCCAAUAGUAAAAGGACAAAUGGUUAUAAUUAGGUAGAAACUUGUCGCAAGGAUGUGGAGUUGAUAUACGAUUGUUAACUAAUAUUAGAAUAUGGAUGAUUGAUAUGUAGUAGGCCUGUUUUUUUUUUAUUCUUGCCUGUAUUGAUAGCAUAUAAAAAAUAGAAUGAUAUGUUAGUUUCUUAGAUUUUAAUAUACAUAUUACAUGUUGAAGUCUGUUUAUAUAAUUUGGUUAACCUGAUUUCCUUGGUGCUUGUAUGUUUUAGUGUUCAUCAGUAUGCAUAACCUUUUAUUAUGCUAUGCCAUUUUAUUAACUUGAUUCUUAGUAAGUAGCUUGAGUUGCCUUUUAGAGGGAUUUUUGAAUUAACCGAUUCUUAGACCUUACCAUGCAGCUAGUUUUAUUUAGUUAUUAAACAGAAGAAAGGUCAAUUUAAGCUCAUUAAAUUUUUAAAACAUAUAUUUGCAUUGCAUUGUAUGCUUCAUUUUCCAAUUAAGAUUGAGAUAUUGAUUCUUCUAAUGUGUUUAAAAGUUUCUUGACUGCAAACCUCAUUUUUGUGUCGCCUACAACGGAUGUUGGAAAGACACAUAGGCA
Mizuhopecten yessoensis (Yesso scallop) is the source of this 1379-nucleotide long non-coding RNA. RefSeq lists it as uncharacterized. The transcript is spliced from 2 exons. The record is from RefSeq and is a predicted model, not a curated record. Lineage: Eukaryota; Metazoa; Mollusca; Bivalvia; Pectinida; Pectinidae.